ACAGCUGUUUGGACUUUGUGAGUGUGUUGUUGUUUUGCUCUUUGCAAUAAAUCUUGUUGCUGGUCACUCUUUGGGUCUGCACUGCUUUUAGAAGCUGUAACACUCUCCAGGAAGGUCGCAGCUUCACUCCUGAAGCCAGUGAGACCAUGAACCCACCAGAAGGAACGAACAACUCUGGACUUUUAUGAGCUGUAACACUCACCGGGAAAGUCUGCAGCUUCACUCUUGAAGCCAGUGAGACCAUGAACCCACCAGGAGAAAGGAAUAACUCUGGAAGUGCCGCCUUCAUGAGCUGUAACACUCACCAAGAAGGUCUCUGGCUUCUCCCCUGAAGCCAGCAAGACCACUAACCCACCAGGAAGAACAACUGUGGAUGCUCCAUCUGUGAGAGCUGUAGUACUCACGGCGAAGAUCUGCAGCUUCACUUCUGAAGUCAGUGAGACCACACAUCCACCAGAAGGAAGAAUCUCCAAACACAUCUGAACAUGUAAGGAAACAAACUCAGACACACCAUCUUUAAGAACCUUAACACUGACCGCAAGUGUUCACGGCUUCAUUCUUGAAGUCAGCCAGACCAAGAACCCACGGGAAGGAACCAAUUCUGGACACAAGCUUAGCUCAGCAGCUGCCCCAAAGGCAUGGACCUGAGAAGUUCCUCCCCCCCAUCAGGGCCAGUCAUACCCACCUCAGACCAGUCCACUUCCACCUCAGGGAAUCUGGGGGCCUUAGUCUGUUUCAGCUGCGUUAACAAAGUGCUUCAGGGGGGCGCUUUACAAAUUGUCUGCUA
RNAcentral lists this long non-coding RNA (787 nucleotides) under Homo sapiens (human). RNAcentral describes it as "HSALNT0340319". The record is from RNAcentral. Lineage: Eukaryota; Metazoa; Chordata; Mammalia; Primates; Hominidae.